UACGUAGGGGGCAAGCGUUGUCCGGAUUUAUUGGGCGUAAAGAGCGUGUAGGCGGCCAAGCAGGUCAGCUGUGAAAACUCGAGGCUCAACCUCGAGACGUCGGUUGAAACCGCUUGGCUAGAGUCCGGAAGAGGAGAGUGGAAUUCCCGGUGUAGCGGUGAAAUGCGCAGAUAUCGGGAAGAACACCCGUGGCGAAGGCGGCUCUCUGGGCUGUAACUGACGCUGAGGCGCGAAAGCGUGGGGAGCAAACAGG
This 253-nucleotide ribosomal RNA is filed under the name uncultured bacterium. Its description in RNAcentral is "partial 16S ribosomal RNA". It matches the Rfam family "Bacterial small subunit ribosomal RNA", at positions 524 to 776 of the family's 1533-position model. The record is from RNAcentral.